Molecule: long non-coding RNA, 236 nt
Filed under: Elaeis guineensis (African oil palm)
Lineage: Eukaryota; Viridiplantae; Streptophyta; Magnoliopsida; Arecales; Arecaceae
Description: long non-coding RNA (EGUI_LNC012715)
Source: RNAcentral
AGUAGAGAUUACUUACCUUGCAAUAAUCCCCUAUCAGGUUAUAUAAUACUUCACGGGUACUCCUCAAAAUCUAAUAAUCCAAAAUACAUACAUGUACUCUGAAAUCAGUACCAUAUUAUUGUCUUGCAAUAAUCCAUAAAACUCCCUAAAAUUCUAAAUCCCAAAUUUUUUGUUAAUUGCCCUCCUCUACGUAAUAGCUCUAAUCUAAGAUUUAUUUAUCCUAUCAAAUAGUACCC